This 286-nucleotide long non-coding RNA is filed under the name Ananas comosus (pineapple). RNAcentral describes it as "long non-coding RNA (ACOM_LNC025779)". The record is from RNAcentral. Lineage: Eukaryota; Viridiplantae; Streptophyta; Magnoliopsida; Poales; Bromeliaceae.
AUGUGAGACGUGAGUCAAAAGGAAUUAGGAUGAGGUUGCGAAGGGGGAGAAAAUGAGAGGAUGAUAUAUAGUGGUAGGGAUAUAUAGAAAAGGAGGAAGAAGUUAAUAGGAAAAGAGAGAUGUCGUUUAAUUAAUUAGGGAAUAAAGAAGAAGAAAGGGAGAGGAAGAAAAAGAGGAGGAGAAGGAAUAGGCAUGUGGUGCCUUGGCUAAUGUAAACGGUACCAAAGGAAUGGAACGAGAGAGAGAGAGAGAGAGAGAGAGAGAGAGAGAGUGGAAAGUGGUUGGU